UGCUGCUCACACCCUCCCCAUUGUUCUCUGCUUUCCUACAGCUAGUUCCCCACAACAGACUCUGCCACGAAUGUCCAGGCUAGCUUGCAUGGCCACCGAUGAUGGCGGAUAAACAGUUUUCCUGGAACUUUAAGCUGUUUCUCUGCCUUUAGCAUAUUGAACUAAGACCCUCCUCCUGGCUGUGAUUGGUUGUUUUUGACCGGGAGCAGCGCAUUUCUGCUGAUGGCAAUAAGAGGAAGUGGAAGAGCUUGAUCUCUUCACAGAUCUGUCUCAUGUUUUCAAAAAUAUGUAAUAGACAUAUUGUUAUAAAGGUUACAUACUGCAGCUACGUUUGAAGCAACUUUUGAUUCAAUUUUGUUUAUAAUUCUUGCCAUUCAUUCUGUUGAUACUUUUCCUUUCUUUUGAAUCAGAGACACAUCUAAACUGAACGGAAGACCCCUGCCUUAGUCUCUGAACUUUUUUUUUUUUAAUUACAAUGCAAGACUGACUUUCAACUGAAAAAUAGACUUUGAAUCAUUUAGCAGCACUGCAGUCCUAUUUCCCCAUCGCCCAGAUCAGAAGCUUCUUACUUUAAUUCUGGAACAGCUGUAGUCCAUGUCCUGGACCGACUGUCCAUGCCAUGUAAUUCCAGUAAGAAUGACAUUUACUUCACAAUUCUGUCAUGGUUACAGUAUUAUCUAUUGCUCAUGCAUCUUUUCUAUCACACUUUUACCUUCCACAAAACUUUCCACUAAGUAAGUGUACCAUCUGGAAGCCAAGUACUGGAAGCUUAUUCAGUCAUGGACCUUUGUGACUCAUCCUUCAUGUGGACUGUAUGCUUGACAACAGUAAAUGUUUCAACCCUAACUUAAGAUGGCUUACAUUUCUGAGAAAUUUGAGUUUUCCUUAGUUGUAGCUCUUAAUCAUAACAUAAUCAGAAAUAAACAUUUAAAAUAUAACACUUUGAAUAUAGUGCAUCUAACUUUUCGACUACUCCAAAUUUACAGAGAAGCUGCAUAGUGACAGUAACGUAGCUGCGUCCUCCAUGUGUGGAUGCUCUUUUUUUUUUUUUUGAAUGACCACUGUGGUCGGCAGAUGUCGCUCUUUGUGAAUACUGACUUCAGCGUCCUGUAUCCGCAGUGUAUUUGGCACACAAACUAAACCUUCAUCUUCCUUCCCUGGGUUAUUUUUUUUCCAAUAACAUUUAUCAAACAAACCUUAAACAAAGGAUUAUAUUUGAUUUUGAUUGGAGGUUUAAAGCGCUGCACAAAAGUGCAAACCUAAAACUGCGCUGAAAACAUAUAAAAAAAAGAAAGAGGAGAAACUUUAAUGUAUUUGUUGUUAUUUCUAAAACUGUUUUUUUUUUUUUUUUUUUUUUUAGUUGUGGACUUUUGUAGUGCAGCUGAAUUAGAUGUGUAGAUUAAAUGUGAGUUCGUCAACUUCAGUUUUUUUCCGUUUUUUCCGAGGCAGAGCGGCGAAUGUGACCUGAAUGCUGGUCAUGACUUAAUGGGAUGAGACGCAAAACUCAUUCAGAACAGUCUCCUGAAGACUCCGAAACGCUUUCGCAGUGUUAGUCAUCGCCAUAGUUCCAGGACUUACAUAUGCGGCUUCAUUUUUCUUCCCUCCACCCCCUGUUGUUAAUCUAUGUGAUUUUUUUCUUUUUUUUUUCUUUUCUUUUUUUUUUGGAGGGGGCGAAAUGCCUUGGCUACAGUAGGAUGCGCUUGUAAGGAGGGGGAGCCAUGGAUUUAGGAUUUGCAUUUGUUUUAUUACAGCAAGAGAUCCUCGCCGAAGAAACACCAUGGAGUGACUGACAUGCAGUAUUAAAAGGGGGGGAGAUAGACCCUUUUGGUCCUCGGUUUUUUGGAUCCCUUUUUUUUUUUUUUUUUUUUUUUCUGGAGCCCCUUGGCGAUCGGUCUUAUUUUCUCUCCGUCAGCGGCUGGUAGGGGAGGCGGAGAGAGAGCCGCGGUGGAAGGCGGCGUAUUAACGCUGUAGCUGGCGUGCAGAAAUAAUUCCUUUUAUUUUUUUAUUGUUAUUAUUUUUUAUCAUUGUUCCAUUUUGUUUUCGUGGAAUGAAACGGGUCCUUUUGUUUUGCGAUCAGGCUCCCCCAACUUGUGCUUCACUGCAGCAUUUUGCGUCUCUUCCCUCCGUUGCAGAUGAUACGGAGAACCAUAACAGCGGCACCUUCCCACUGCAAUUUUUGGGGGCACAGAUAAAGAGUGGCGUCGUCUUAUGGCAGAAUAACCAAGAAGGGAGGGGGUCCACAAUUCCUUCCUUAAAAAAACAAAACAAAGAAGAAA
This is a long non-coding RNA of Poecilia latipinna (sailfin molly), 2276 nucleotides long. RefSeq lists it as uncharacterized. The record is from RefSeq and is a predicted model, not a curated record. Lineage: Eukaryota; Metazoa; Chordata; Actinopteri; Cyprinodontiformes; Poeciliidae. The transcript is spliced from 2 exons.